UACGGAGGGUGCAAGCGUUGUCCGGAUUUAUUGGGUUUAAAGGGUGCGUAGGCGGCUAUUUAAGUCAGUGGUGAAAUACAGCAGCUCAACUGUUGAGGUGCCAUUGAUACUGAAUAGCUUGAGUACAGAUGAGGUAGGCGGAAUUUAUGGUGUAGCGGUGAAAUGCAUAGAUACCAUAAAGAACACCGAUUGCGAAGGCAGCUUACUAAGCUGUAACUGACGCUGAGGCACGAAAGCGUGGGGAGCGAACAGG
Molecule: ribosomal RNA, 253 nt
Filed under: uncultured bacterium
Lineage: Bacteria
Description: partial 16S ribosomal RNA
Rfam family: Bacterial small subunit ribosomal RNA
Source: RNAcentral